Molecule: ribosomal RNA, 482 nt
Filed under: uncultured bacterium
Lineage: Bacteria
Description: bacterial SSU rRNA
Rfam family: Bacterial small subunit ribosomal RNA
Source: RNAcentral
UAAACGCUGGCGGCGUGCAUGAGACAUGCAAGUCGAACGGACGAUCGAGGUUCGCCUUGAUCGUUAGUGGCGGACGGCUGAGUAACGCGUAGGUGACCUGCCCCGAAGUGGGGAAUAACUGCCCGAAAGGGUGGCUAAUACCGCAUGUGGUGACAUGUUCAUUCGCGUCAUCAAAGCCGCAAGGCGCUUCGGAAACGGAUAGGCUCGCGUGACAUUAGCUAGAUGGCGGGGUAACGGCCCACCAUGGCGACGAUGUCUAGGGGUUCUGAGAGGAAGGUCCCCCACACUGGAACUGAGACACGGUCCAGACUCCUACGGGAGGCAGCAGUGAGGAAUAUUGGUCAAUGGUCUGACGACUGAACCAGCCAUGCCGCGUGAAGGUGACGGCCCUAUGGGUCUUAAACUUCUUUUGUAAGGGAGCAAUAAGUCUCACGUGUGGGAUGAUGAGAGUACCUUACGAAUAAGCAUCGGCUAACUCCGUG